RNAcentral lists this long non-coding RNA (833 nucleotides) under Homo sapiens (human). RNAcentral describes it as "HSALNT0317697". The record is from RNAcentral. Lineage: Eukaryota; Metazoa; Chordata; Mammalia; Primates; Hominidae.
GAGAGAGGUCAGCGUGAGCCCCUUGCCUCACACCGGCCCCUCCCACGCUGAGAGAGGUCAGUGUGAGCCCUUGCCUCACACCGGCCCCUCCCACGCGGACAGAGGUCAGCGUGAGCCCCUUGCCUCACACCGGCCCCUCCCACGCUGAGAGAGGUCAGUGUGAGCCCUUGCCUCACCCCGGCCCCUCCCACGUGGACAGAGGUCAGCGUGAGCCCCUUGUCUCACACCGGCCCCUCCCACGCUGAGAGAGGUCAGCGUGAGCCCCUUGCCUCACACCGGCCCCUCCCACGCGGACAGAGGUCAGCCCGAGCCCCUUGUCUCACACCGGCCCCUCCCAUGCUGAGAGAGGUCAGCGUGCCCCUUGUCUCACACCGGCCCCUCCCACGCUGAGAGAGGUCAGCGUGAGCCCCUUGCCUCACACCGGCCCCUCCCACGCUGAGAGAGGUCAGCCCGAGCCCCUUGCCUCACACCGGCCCCUCCCACGCUGAGAGAGGUCAGCGUGAGCCCCUUGUCUCACACCGGCCCCUCCCACGCUGAGAGAGGUCAGCCCGAGCCCCUUGCCUCACACCGGCCCCUCCCACGCUGAGAGAGGUGUGAGCCCCUUGUCUCACACCGGCCCCUCCCACGCGGACAGAGGUCAGCGUGAGCCCCUUGCCUCACCCCGGCCCCUCCCACGCUGAGAGAGGUCAGUGUGAGCCCUUGCCUCACACCGGCCCCUCCCACGCGGACAGAGGUCAGCGUGAGCCCCUUGCCUCACCCCGGCCCCUCCCACGCUGAGAGAGGUCAGUGUGAGCCCUUGCCUCACACCGGCCCCUCCCACGCGGACAGAGGUC